Molecule: ribosomal RNA, 271 nt
Filed under: uncultured bacterium
Lineage: Bacteria
Description: partial 16S ribosomal RNA
Rfam family: Bacterial small subunit ribosomal RNA
Source: RNAcentral
UACGUAGGGUGCGAGCGUUGUCCGGAUUCACUGGGUGUAAAGGGUCCGCAGGCGGGGCGGCAAGUCGUUGGUGAAAUCCUGGGGCUUAACUCCAGAAUUGCCGACGAUACUGCCGUUCCUGAGUGCAGAAGAGGGAGACGGAAUUCCUGGUGUAGCGGUGAAAUGCGUAGAUAUCAGGAAGAACACCGGUGGCGAAGGCGGUCUCCUGGUCUGUUACUGACGCUCAGGGACGAAAGCGUGGGGAGCAAACAGGAUUAGAAACCCUAGUAGU